Rhizopogon vinicolor AM-OR11-026 is the source of this 154-nucleotide small nuclear RNA. It matches the Rfam family "U4 spliceosomal RNA". From Rfam's summary of the family: U4 small nuclear RNA (U4 snRNA) is a component of the major U2-dependent spliceosome. The structure of U4 snRNA from yeast and human has been reported. Lineage: Eukaryota; Fungi; Basidiomycota; Agaricomycetes; Boletales; Rhizopogonaceae. The record is from Rfam.
UCUCUUGUGCUCGGGCAUGUACUGUCGCCAGUGAGGUCUUUACCGAGGCACAGUCUUUUGCUGAUUGCAAAUUACACAUCCGAACCCGUCUGUUAGCUUCGGCUUUCAGCAAUUUUUGAAAACCCAUUGGCUGUGACGCUCUGUUUUGAAUGGA